Molecule: unclassified non-coding RNA, 391 nt
Filed under: soil metagenome
Description: partial contains 5.8S ribosomal RNA, internal transcribed spacer 2, and large subunit ribosomal RNA
Rfam family: 5.8S ribosomal RNA (bases 1-122)
Source: RNAcentral
GAUGAAGAACGUAGCGAAAUGCGAUACUUGGUGUGAAUUGCAGAAUCCCGUGAACCAUCGAGUCUUUGAACGCAAGUUGCGCCCGAAGCCAUUAGGCCGAGGGCACGCCUGCCUGGGCGUCACACGUCGUUGCCCCCCCAUCUACUCCUUCGGGAUUGCGGGGGGCGGAUGAUGGCCUCCCGUGCGCCUCGUCGUGCGGUUGGCAUAAAUGCCAAGUCCUCGGCGACGCACGCCACGACAAUCGGUGGUUGCGAAACCUCGGUUGCCCGUCGUGUGCGGUCGUCGCGCAUCGAGGGCUCGAAAAAAUUGCCGGGCUCUGGUUCGGCUUUCAACGCGACCCCAGGUCAGGCGGGGUUACCCGCUGAAUUUAAGCAUAUCAAUAAGCGGAGGA